RNAcentral lists this ribosomal RNA (832 nucleotides) under uncultured Planctomycetales bacterium. Its description in RNAcentral is "bacterial SSU rRNA". It matches the Rfam family "Bacterial small subunit ribosomal RNA", at positions 684 to 1504 of the family's 1533-position model. The record is from RNAcentral. Lineage: Bacteria; Pseudomonadati; Planctomycetota; Planctomycetia; Planctomycetales.
AAAUGCGUAGAUAUCAGUUGGAACGCCGGAGGCGAAAGCGGGUCACUGGGCCUGUCCUGACGCUGAGACGCGAAAGCGUGGGGAGCGAACAGGAUUAGAUACCCUGGUAGUCCACGCCGUAAACGAUGCGCACUAGGUAUGAACGGUUUUGACGCCUGUCGUGCCGAAGCAAAAGUGCUAAGUGCGCCGCCUGGGGAGUACGGCCGCAAGGCUAAAACUCAAAGGAAUUGACGGGGGCUCACACAAGCGGUGGAGCAUGUGGAUUAAUUCGAAGCAACGCGAAGAACCUUACCUGGGUUUGACAUGCACGGAUGCCCUCUUGGAAACAGGAGUAAGCUGCCUUCGGGUGAAACGUGCACAGGUGCUGCAUGGCUGUCGUCAGCUCGUGCUGUGAAGUGUCGGGUUAAGUCCCUCAACGAGCGAAACCCUUAUCGUUAGUUGCCAGCGGGUCAUGCCGGGGACUCUAGCGAGACUGCCGGUGUCAAACCGGAGGAAGGCGGGGACGACGUCAAGUCAUCAUGGCCCUUAUGCCCAGGGCGUCACACGUGCUACAAUGGUCGGUACAGAGCGACGCGAUACCGCGAGGUGGAGCAAAUCGCACAAAGCCGGCCUCAGUUCGGAUUGGAGUCUGCAACUCGACUCCAUGAAGUUGGAAUCGCUAGUAAUCGCGGAUCAGCCAUGCCGCGGUGAAUGUGUUCCUGAGCCUUGUACACACCGCCCGUCAAGUCAUGGAAGCUGGGAGUACCCGAAGUCCGCUUAGCUAACCCGCAAGGGAUGCGGCGGCCGACGGUAAGCCCGGUGACUGGGACUAAGUCGUAACAAGGUAACCGUA